This 305-nucleotide ribosomal RNA is filed under the name uncultured bacterium. Its description in RNAcentral is "bacterial SSU rRNA". It matches the Rfam family "Bacterial small subunit ribosomal RNA", at positions 334 to 655 of the family's 1533-position model. The record is from RNAcentral.
UAAACCUACGGGGCGCAGCAGUGGGGGAUAUUGCACAAUGGGGGGAACCCUGAUGCAGCGACGCCGCGUGAGUGAAGAAGUAUUUCGGUAUGUAAAGCUCUAUCAGCAGGGAAGAAGAAAGACGGUACCUGAGUAAGAAGCCCCGGCUAACUACGUGCCAGCAGCCGCGGAAAUACGUAGGGGGCAAGCGUUAUCCGGAUUUACUGGGUGUAAAGGGAGCGUAGACGGAAUGGCAAGUCUGAAGUGAAAGCACCGGGCUCAACAUGGGAAUUGCUUUGGAAACUGUUAAACUAGAGUGCUGGAGA